AAGUCGUAACAAGGUUUCCGUAGGUGAACCUGCGGAAGGAUCAUUAACAUCUUCUUUUGGAUUGAUUUAUUAAGGGUGGUAUGGUGGGGGUUUCUUUAGAAGCUCUCAUCUGCCACUUCCACCCCACUUGUGUGCAUUUGCAGUGUUGAGUUGGAUUGUGAUGGUGGAAACACCUCGCUUUCUCUCUCUCUACUCUUUUAUCUCAUUCCCAUUAAACCCCAUUCCUUUUCAACACUUGUCUGAACACAAACACCUUUUUUCUCACUUACAAUGAGGAAAAAACCAAUCAGCAUACAACUCUUAGCAACGGAUAUCUAGGCUCUC
This 324-nucleotide unclassified non-coding RNA is filed under the name fungal sp. RNAcentral describes it as "partial internal transcribed spacer region". The stretch from base 1 to 46 matches the Rfam family "Eukaryotic small subunit ribosomal RNA", at positions 1786 to 1831 of the family's 1831-position model. Lineage: Eukaryota; Fungi. The record is from RNAcentral.